This 468-nucleotide ribosomal RNA is filed under the name uncultured bacterium. RNAcentral's name for it is "partial 16S ribosomal RNA". It matches the Rfam family "Bacterial small subunit ribosomal RNA", at positions 28 to 507 of the family's 1533-position model. The record is from RNAcentral.
GACGAACGCUGGCGGCGUGCUUAACACAUGCAAGUCGAACGGAAAGGCCCUGCUUUUUUGGGGUGCUCGAGUGGCGAACGGGUGAGUAACACGUGAGUAACCUGCCCUUGACUUUGGGAUAACUUCAGGAAACUUGGGCUAAUACCGGAUAGGAGCUCCUGCUGCAUGGUGGGGGUUGGAAAGUUUCGGCGGUUGGGGAUGGACUCGCGGCUUAUCAGCUUGUUGGUGGGGUAGUGGCUUACCAAGGCUUUGACGGGUAGCCGGCAUGAGAGGGUGACCGGCGACAUUGGGACUGAGAUACGGCCCAGACUCCUACGGGAGGCAGCAGUGGGGAAUAUUGCACAAUGGGCGGAAGCCUGAUGCAGCAACGCCGCGUGCGGGAUGACGGCCUUCGGGUUGUAAACCGCUUUCGCCUGUGACGAAGCGUGAGUGACGGUAAUGGGUAAAGAAGCACCGGCUAACUACGUG